This 371-nucleotide long non-coding RNA is filed under the name Physcomitrium patens. RNAcentral's name for it is "long non-coding RNA (PPAT_LNC002656)". The record is from RNAcentral. Lineage: Eukaryota; Viridiplantae; Streptophyta; Bryopsida; Funariales; Funariaceae.
AAAUUCUAACUAUAUUCUAUUUUAAUUUUAAUUGAAAUCCUAAUAGAUCUUAAUUAAAUCCUAGGUCAAAUCUUAAUUAAAUCCUAAACCUUGAACCAAAUCUUAAAUAAAUCUUAAAUCCUAAAUCUUAAACAAAAUCUUUGACAAAUCCUAAAUCCAAAAUCCUAAAUAAAUCCUAAGUUUUAAAAAAAUCCUAAAUCCUAAAUCAAAUCCUAAACAAAUCCUAAGCCCUAAAUAAAUUCUAAAUCCUAAAUCAAAUCCUAACUAAAAUCUAAUCAAUUCAAAUCAAUCCUAAGAUAGAUUAGAAUUCCAAUAUCUAUUAUUUAAAUCAUUGAUCUUACUUAAAAAAUUAUACACCUUUCAACUUCUUA